GACGAACGCUGGCGGCGUGCUUAACACAUGCAAGUCGAACGGAAAGGCCCUGCUUUUGUGGGGUGCUCGAGUGGCGAACGGGUGAGUAACACGUGAGUAACCUGCACUUGACUUUGGGAUAACUUCAGGAAACUGGGGCUAAUACCGGAUAGGAGCUCCUGCUGCAUGGUGGGGGUGGGAAAGUUUCGGCGGUUGGGGAUGGACUCGCGGCUUAUCAGCUUGUUGGUGGGGUAGUGGCUUACCAAGGCUUUGACGGGUAGCCGGCCUGAGAGGGUGACCGGCCACAUUGGGACUGAGAUACGGCCCAGCCUCCUACGGGAGGCAGCAGUGGGGAAUAUUGCACAAUGGGCGGAAGCCUGAUGCAGCAACGCCGCGUGCGGGAUGACGGCCUUCGGGUUGUAAUCCGCUUUCGCCUGUGACGAAGCGUGAGUGACGGUAAUGGGUAAAGAAGCACCGGCUAACUACGUG
This 468-nucleotide ribosomal RNA is filed under the name uncultured bacterium. RNAcentral's name for it is "partial 16S ribosomal RNA". It matches the Rfam family "Bacterial small subunit ribosomal RNA", at positions 28 to 507 of the family's 1533-position model. The record is from RNAcentral.